AGCGUGGUAUCGGGAGAGUCUGCCGUCCAGCAUUGCCUGGCGGCGGCGCCGAAGGAGCAACCGCCCCGGAAACUCUCAGGCAAAUGAACCGGUACCACCCA
Molecule: non-coding RNA, 101 nt
Filed under: Polaromonas sp. JS666
Lineage: Bacteria; Pseudomonadati; Pseudomonadota; Betaproteobacteria; Burkholderiales; Comamonadaceae
Also listed under: 1 other name
Description: Glycine riboswitch aptamer
Rfam family: Glycine riboswitch aptamer
About the family: This family represents the bacterial glycine riboswitch. Glycine riboswitches usually consist of two metabolite-binding aptamers domains with similar structures in tandem. The aptamers cooperatively bind glycine to regulate the expression of downstream genes.
Source: Rfam by way of RNAcentral